RNAcentral lists this ribosomal RNA (1495 nucleotides) under uncultured bacterium. RNAcentral describes it as "bacterial SSU rRNA". It matches the Rfam family "Bacterial small subunit ribosomal RNA". The record is from RNAcentral.
AGAGUUUGAUCCUGGCUCAGGACGAACGUUGGCGGCGUGCUUAACACAUGCAAGUCGAGCGGGGCUUAGUGGAAAGUUUACUUUUUACUUAGUCUAGCGGCGGUGAGUAACGCGUGGAUAAUCUGCCUGUAAGACAGGGAUAACGCCGGGAAACCGGUGCUAAUACCGGAUAACCUCUUUGAAUCGCAUGGUCUGAAGAGAAAAGGUGGCCUCUUUACAAUGCUACCACUUACAGAUGAAUCCGCGUCCCAUUAGCCAGUUGGUGGGGUAAUGGCCUACCAAAGCGACGAUGGGUAGCCGGCCUGAGAGGGUGACCGGCCACACUGGAACUGAGAUACGGUCCAGACUCCUACGGGAGGCAGCAGUGGGGAAUCUUCCGCAAUGGGCGAAAGCCUGACGGAGCAACGCCGCGUGAGCGAAGAAGGUUUUCGGAUUGUAAAGCUCUGUCUUCUGGGACGAUAAAUGACGGUACAAUAAGAGGAAGCCCCGGCUAACUACGUGCCAGCAGCCGCGGUAAUACGUAGGGGGCAAGCGUUAUCCGGAAUUAUUGGGCGUAAAGAGUGCGUAGGUGGAUUUACAAGCCUUUGGUGAAAGGCUACGGCUUAACCGUAGUAAGCCUUAGGAACUGUAAGUCUUGAGUGCAGGAGAGGGCAGUGGAAUUCCUAGUGUAGCGGUGAAAUGCGUAGAUAUUAGGAGGAACACCAGUGGCGAAGGCGGCUUUCUGGACUGUAACUGACACUGAGGCACGAAAGCGUGGGGAGCAAACAGGAUUAGAUACCCUGGUAGUCCACGCCGUAAACGAUGAGUACUAGGUGUUGGGUAGCGAGCAAUUCAGUGCUGCAGUUAACGCAAUAAGUAAUCCGCCUGGGGAGUAUGCACGCAAGUGUGAAACUCAAAGGAAUUGACGGGGGCCCGCACAAGCGGUGGAGUAUGUGGUUUAAUUCGAAGCAACGCGAAGAACCUUACCAAGUCUUGACAUACCGCGAUGAAUGGCGCUUAGCAGCGCAGGUCUUUCGGGACAGAGGAGACAGGUGGUGCAUGGUUGUCGUCAGCUCGUGUCGUGAGAUGUUGGGUUAAGUCCCGCAACGAGCGCAACCCUUAUCAUUAGUUGCCAGCGGGUAAUGCCGGGAACUCUAAUGAGACUGCCGGGGAUAACUCGGAGGAAGGUGGGGACGACGUCAAAUCAUCAUGCCCCUUAUGUCUUGGGCUACACACGUGCUACAAUGGCCGGUACAAAGGGCUGCAAACCCGCAAGGGGGAGCGAAUCCCAUAAAGCCGGUCUCAGUUCGGAUCGUGGGCUGCAACCCGCCCACGUGAAGCCGGAGUUGCUAGUAAUCGCGAAUCAGCAUGUCGCGGUGAAUGCGUUCCCGGGUCUUGUACACACCGCCCGUCACACCAUGGGAGUUGGGAGCGCCCGAAGCCAGUGAGCUAACCGCAAGGAGGCAGCUGUCGAAGGCGAGAUCAAUGACUGGGGUGAAGUCGUAACAAGGUAACC